UGGAGCACCAUGAGAGUUGCUGGCUCCCCGCGUCAACAAUCCUUAGUCCUUCACCUGCUGUCAGACUUGUUUGACCACUGUGUGAGUUGCCAGCUCCUUGGGUCCUGGAUUUUCUUAAUAAGUGUUGGCCAUUUUUUGGAGUGUGUCCUGUAGGGGCCCAAUUGUUAGUGUAUUAUUUCUUUCUUGAUUCUGCUUCAUGUCCCUGUUUCCAAGGUUCACUUGUUGUGCAGACUUUGGAAAGUUCACCUCAAGCUGUAUAUGUCUAGGGUAGCCCUUCCCUAAGUGUUUACCAGCCCUGACAGGAUACAUCUCUGGUUGGUGCCAGUAAAGGGAGCUUUGGACUACUCCCCGAGUAGUGCAAGGAUUUAUGACUCCUCUACAAGGCUCUGAGAUUGGAAGCAUUCCGAGGCUAUUGAGUAGGGGUGCGCUAGGGUUUUCAUGCUUGUUUAUACGGCGCACUUCUAACGCUCUUCACAGCCGUGUUUUCGGUGUUAAUUCAUCCAGCGAGUGUCCAUUCUGCCUGUGUGCCCUGCUCACUUUGAGGCCCUGGCAAGCUUGCAGUUCAUUGGUGUGGCUCAAUAUGGUUCGACCCCUCUAAGCUUGCACUCAAUCUCUUUUGUUUUGAGGGCUGUCCAUCAGUUUUGCUACAAACCCAUGGUGACUUGUUGUGUCUUCCUCUGCUGGCUGUUUGGCAAGUUUUUUUUACCUCUACCCUAAGGGCUGUGUGAUACUUGGGUUUGCUGGGAUGCUAUUUUGAAUCAAGCACUUGUCUUCUAGUUUUUGUUUGUUUUUGAAGUGAUGAGACAACACAGGUGGAAGCUACUUCAGGUUCAUUUGCCUGUUUUUUUGUUGCAGGUUGAUGCUUGUGCAGUUGAACCCUAAAAGAAUGAGACUAGCCCCAAUUCUGAGGCUAGUCUCAUUCUUUUGGGGUUUUGGAGUUGUUGGGGUUGGUGUUUCAGGAGGCGGGGUGUGUAUUUAUAUCGGAUCGUUUUAAAGUUUGAAGAUACCUUCUUAUCUGCUCAGGCAUUGUGUGCAGAGCUCUUCUUGUUCUUGCUCUUUGCAAUACAUGCAGUUUGCGUGAAGGUACAUCCUCCCGAUGACUGCACGAGUGGUAAUGUAGAAAGAUGUGUAUAUGACAAUGCACAACAACACAUCAACGGUCAUGACGUACCCGAGUCGAGAAGCUAACGAUGUCAUCGAGGUAGGCGAGGAGAAAGGCAAAAUAAACAAGAGGAAAGGAACGUAGGAGAGGAAGAAAGAAAACAGAAGGCGAGUAGAAAGCGUCGCCGCAGUAAAAAAAGCGAGGGACGGAGGCAAGAGACGAAGGGUGGGGCAAAGGAUGUGAAGGAGGCAAAUGUGAAUGUGUAGAAGGGUAGAGGAAGUCAAGACCGGACAGGCAAGGUUAGAACAGGGCAAGAUUGGUAGAUGGAAUCCGGAGCCUCACGCCUGGGACGUUAACGCAUCAGACUUCGCAGAAGCAUCAGCAGGACAACGGGAGGAAGACCUAGGAAGGGUGCGAGGACAAGUCGUGGGAGAACGCGAUGUAAGAAGCCCAUCAGGAAAGGUGGCAGGGCCCUUGGAAAUCAGGACGACGGAGGAUUGCUUCCGCUUAGUACCGGGGGCAGAGAUGUGGGGCAACACAGCCUGGGGAGAGAGACAGGGAAGGCUCGCCAAAGUUCCGAAGGGCAUUGUCCAGCAUCGAUUCAAAUACAUUGGAGAUAGCAGAGGCAGCUGCGGGAGGAUGGACAUCAACCAUAGAAGAAGCAGAGGAGAGGAGCGUUGGGUCAGUCUCAGGAAUGGGAAGGACAGACUGUGGAAAGAACUUAGUGACGAGGUGGAUCAGCACCAUCUCGAGUGCAUCCACAACACGAGCGACAAUAGCAUCAAUAAGAUCGGGACUCGGGUGAGUGGUGGGUGGGAGAGAAGAAGCCUCAGGGGUGAGAGGAACGUCGGUGACAAACAGGUCAGGCAUGGGCCAAGGUGGCGGUGGAGGGGGAAGCGGUGGGUGAUAAUGAACCGGGGCAGGAUGAGGCAAAGCGUGACUGGUGGGCUGAGUGACCACGGGAAGAGCCUUAGCAAGUGCCACAACAUAGGAAGGACACUGAUUGAAAGUGAUGGCAUGAUCACCACGACAGUUGGGGCAACAGAGCUUGUUGGAGUCAGUCACGAGUGUAAUUAAACCAGAGCAUUUGCCACAAUGGAUGUCAUUGGUGCAGCCAUGGGAGGUAUGGUAUAAAGAAAACCCUUACAACGAAAGCACCGAGUGGAACGGGGGACGUCCACCUCCAAUUUAUGAAGGAAUCCAUUAAUCCAAACCCAAUCAGGGGAGGAGGGAGUGAAGAAAAUAAGGUCAGUGCCGGUAUCACACAGGUCUCCAUCAAUUCUACGCAUAAAUUUCUUGACACCAAAGAAUGGAAUGUCGUCAUCCUGCAGUUGCGCCUCGAUGUCGUCUGCACUAAUGUCAACAACAUGCCGGAUCACACGUUGUACCAAACGGUCACCCAGAGGCGUAUAACAACGGACCUUGUAACCACAGAUAUCGGUAAUGUCCGAAAGCACCAAGUCCCCGCAGAAAGCGUUGUCCACGGCAAUCAGGUUCCUGUGCAGAGCUCAGCUCUGUCCCGGGUUUUUAAUGUCAAACGUUUGGGGUUGAGGGGUAGCCCAAGGAAUGUUCCUAGAUGACCUUUAAUUCUUCAUGGUGUCUGAUUCCAUCUGUAGUUGGUGUUCCUUUUUUGCUCUGGGUGAAGGUGUUUACUUUUCCUCCGUCUCUGUUCGAGCUGGAUUCCUCGGGUGCACUUCCACGUCCCAUUCAGUUCACUGGAGACACAUUAUUUCGUGGGGUUUGCAUUGUCCUGCAUUGCACCUUCCUCUGUUCAGGCGAUCGUCUUUCCAUUCAAGCGGACCUCUUUCUGUUCCGGUGAACCUCUUUUGUUUCCUCAUAUGGGUUGAGGACUUUGCUUUUCUGAUGACAGUGAUAAUGAUAAUCUUAUUUCGGGGAAAGUCCUUGGCUUGGCAUGGCUUUUGUCGAACCCAGAUGCUUGCUGGCGGGAAUUUAGUUUCAUAAUGCAGUUGUUCUUAGGAGGUGCUUCUUUUGUGUUGCUUGAGAGCUGCUUGUUUGCUCCAAUUCUUCCUAUGGAAGUGAACAGGUGGCAGCUCCAUAUUCAGUUUCCUUUAUUCUCAGGAGCCUUCACAGCAGAAUAUCACUAGACUAGUGCUCUAUUGGCAGCUGAUUUACGAGUCUGGGCAGUUGUGGAUGUUCUGGCUUCAUUUCCUGGUGUGGCUGUCUUGUUACUGGAAGGAGUUGCCAAAGAUGGAACUGUUUUUGCAGUUCCAGCUUUGGCAUCUCUGCCUGACUUGCUUCUAUCCUUUGGUAGGCAGUGGUGUUUUUCUGGCCCAUUUUGCAUGAUGGCCCCGGCAUUAGAUUCAGCUUGGUCCUUAACCCUUUUGUCUGCCUUUAUAUUUUUGUCCGUAUUACCAUUUUGUCCCAUCUGUUUCCUGAAGUGACUCCUUGUUUGGUUUGUUUGGCUGCUGCCACUGCCUUCUAGCCCCUCAGGUGGUUAUGUGGAGGUAUUGUAUCCCUGUUUCAGAGGUACCCCUUCUAGGUUGGACCACUCACUGGUUGUUGGUCGGGGGUACAGUAGUCUGAUUCCCGGAUCAUUGCACUUGCUCUGGCUGGUGUUGCUUCUGCCCUGUGUCGUUCUCAUGCUUCGUGGAAGAAGCCUCUACUUGGGGUCUUUUCACUGCCCUUUUUUGUUGUUGGCCCCUUUAACAGAGUGGGGGAAGCUACAGGGAACCACUAUGGCCAUAUCAUAAAGAGGAGUUUCAUUACAUACAACCCUGUAUUUUCCAGUAAGAUUGUCUUAUAAAUAUGAAUAAUAAUUUAUUAAAAAUGUUAUAGGGUAUCUCUCUUCACUUACACUAACUCAAAGAAAAUUCAGAGGUAGUUGGUGUUCUUUGCAACACCGGAGCUUUGAAAUGUUAUGCAGAGAGUAAGUCAAAAAUAAUGUUGCUGAAAAUUAGACACCCAACCGAUACAUCUGUUAGGCACUUUUGUUGUGGAGUUCAGUUCUUAUGGCACAUGACAACACAUGCAUUCAGCACUGUAGUAUCAAUGUCAUUGAUCGUUCAAGUGACAGAUCACCUCUUAGAAAAGAAAAGAAAAGAAAGGGAUUUCCUUAACUGAAAUCACCAAUCUUUGUAUUUUUUUUUAGAAACCAAUAGGAGAAAUUACCAGUAGGUUAUUGUUUUAAUUGUUGAUUUAUUAUUUGUUGUUUGCCUUGUUUAACAAUGAUUUUUUUCCCACAAAAACAUUAUUGGUUUAAAGCUGUUUUAAAUAUCUUUUAGUAGUCCCAUACUUUGUUUGUAUUUCCCAUUUUUCAAUAAAGCUACUGAAAUUGGUACAAGACCUUGCUUGUUAUAUAAGGGGAUCUGGUUUAUCAUAAUAAUUUAUAAUUUGCAAAAAAUAAAGGACACAUAUUUGCAUGUAUUAUGAUAGCAAAGUCAAAUGGAAAAAAAUAAAUAUGUAAUACAGUAGACCAAAAAUGCUAUAGAAAUAAAAAUUGGAAAUUGUGUAAAUUUAUUGGCAACACAAAUCCAGAUUUUCCAGAUUCCCUGGUUUGUAUUGGCAGCUGGUCCAUAUAAGUAAUACAUUGACCAUAACCAGAUCGAGUUUUGGCCAUUAAAUUUGGAAAUCGUUAUAAUCCAGACCUGAAUAUAUUAGUUUUUGCUGCACUCAUGCAUUUUUAUAUGACUACAUUUUUAUGUAUAGUGUUGUUUUGGGAAGGACCCCACAGUAGCUUCCUGAGCUUAGCUCUGGUACUACCAAGCCUUAGCCCCACACCCCAGGCCUCUCAAGACCCUUCCGUAGUGUACCAGGACCCAUAUCUCCCUCACUCUAUGAAGCGAGACCAGGUGGUACUCGUUGAAGAUGUGGAUAUUGGUAGUGGAAAGUGAAAUGACGCGACUCGUGAGGUAGCAAAUUUCCCCAGAGACAAGACCACACUUAAGCACUGGUUCACCAAUGAAUCGAUUGUGGACGUACCAAGCAGAAGCUGGUGGCACAUGGCGUGAAAGGAAUAGUGGGAGUGAUUGGUAGGAGCCAUCCUGGGGCAUCUCGUGCAGAACGAGCACGCAAGACUCAUCGCGUCAACGUGAUCAUUUACUCCUGAAGACUACUGCUGUUGCCAUAGAGGUAGAUGGUGCACCAAAGAAGCUAUUGAUUUGAUGUCUUCGGGCCUUUACUGGAGACUAAAGGGAGUGUGUGUAACGGUACUGUGGGGCCGGAACAGAGAUGGUAUCUGUUGUCAGAAACCAGCAUGGUUGGAGAAAAUGAGCAAUGGCAAUCUCCAGAGUAGGAAUUGAAGCGUGACCUACAGGCCACUGUUAUCUACAAGGCGAGUCUGAUGAAAUGUAGUUUUGUUCCCCAAUAAUUGAGUUUGAGUCCAUAAGCAUUGUUGGUGUUGUAUAAAUCGCAUACAAAUAAUCAUGUGGUGUACUUUGAGCAUUAGGCAUCAUGAGAGCCAGACUUACUAGUGUUGUAGUGGAACACUUAUUGCAAGUAUAGUCUUAGAAAAGUAAUGAAAGGGCCACCCAGUGGCUUAAAUAGAGGAAGGGUGUGGGAAAAAGGGUUGUUGUUGAUUGAUGAGAGUUUGAGGGAGUUUUUAGUGUAAAAAAUUGAAAUGUAGUGUCUGGAAAAUAAAGUAACUCUGUAUCUAUGGUUGUAAAUCCUAGCUCCUGUUUUCUUAAUGAGAGAAUGUGGGUUGUAAGGGGCAGGUUGGGUGAAUUAAAGUUGCAUCCCCCCCCCUCUGCAGACAAAUAUCUCAAGUUGUAAAAAAAAAAAAAAAAAAAGAUUGGUUUUAAA
Molecule: non-coding RNA, 5860 nt
Organism: Procambarus clarkii (red swamp crayfish)
Lineage: Eukaryota; Metazoa; Arthropoda; Malacostraca; Decapoda; Cambaridae
Source: RefSeq, a predicted model, not a curated record